CCUACGGGAGACAGCAGUGAGGAAUAUUGGUCAAUGGACGAGAGUCUGAACCAGCCAAGUAGCGUGAAGGAUGACUGCCCUAUGGGUUGUAAACUUCUUUUAUAUGGGAAUAAAAUGUUCCACGUGUGGGAUUUUGUAUGUACCAUAUGAAUAAGGAUCGGCUAACUCCGUGCCAGCAGCCGCGGUAAUACGGAGGAUCCGAGCGUUAUCCGGAUUUAUUGGGUUUAAAGGGAGCGUAGGUGGAUUGUUAAGUCAGUUGUGAAAGUUUGGGGCUCAACCGUAAAAUUGCAGUUGAAACUGGCAGUCGUGAGUACAGUAGAGGUGUGCGGAAUUCGUGGUGUAGCGGUGAAAUGCUUAGAUAUCACGAAGAACUCCGAUUGCGAAGGCAGCUCACUGGACUGCAACUGACACUGAGGCUCGAAAGUGUGGGUAUCAAACAGGAUUAGAUACCCCAGUAGUC
Molecule: ribosomal RNA, 460 nt
Filed under: uncultured bacterium
Lineage: Bacteria
Description: partial 16S ribosomal RNA
Rfam family: Bacterial small subunit ribosomal RNA
Source: RNAcentral